This 1126-nucleotide unclassified non-coding RNA is filed under the name Hevea brasiliensis (rubber tree). Lineage: Eukaryota; Viridiplantae; Streptophyta; Magnoliopsida; Malpighiales; Euphorbiaceae. The record is from RNAcentral.
UGCAGAGAACUUCCAUAAAGCAACCUGAAAGUAAGUAGAUGAAAUGGCCAUUUCAUGGAUAAAGAAGAAAUAUCUGCUUUAGAAGAAUAAAGCUAAGAGUUAAAGAUUUUGCUUUAAAAUUAAAUGAAGAAGAGAUAUUUAGGUCCAAAAAUAUAACCAGAUUACUUGGGUUCGUCAAUUUAUUAGAACUUCGUUAUUUUUAUUAUUUAUUUUGUAAAGUUAAAAGAAGGUCAAGUUAAUAUUGUAGCUUGGUAGAAGAUACUAGUUGUCACUGUUGCAUGCACACUGUUUACAUUACUAUUUGAUAGAAUUGUUUUCUCCCCGCUUCUUUAAUUUAGAGUUCAGCGGUUGUGAUUUAAUGUUUUCUAGGGCUAGGAGUUAUUAAUUUAACAGUUUAAAAGGCAUACAGAAGGGUUGUAAUAUUUGCCUAGCUUUGAAGUAUAUCAUUAGGAUUGGUCGCUAGAUACUAGUGUCCCUCUUGAUCUUUUUAUUAUCCAAUUCUCUUCCUUCAUUAUUUUUCUCAGAAUUUUUGUCUCUAUAAAUAUUGUGCAAAAGAUAUAGGCUUUAAUUCAUGCAAGUAAAGUAACUAUUAAAACCUGAAAAUUCAGCAAACCUUUUACCACAUUGCCUUCUAACGCAAAUACAUACCACUGCUAAUUUCAUUCAUGUUAAACCCUAAUUCCAACAGGAUUUGGAACACACAGGGCUUUAAGGCUAUUGUUCAUCAUAUGGAAACUUUUUAGCUUCUAAUAACAUAAUAAAUUCAGAAUGGAACAUGAGAUAGUAGGAUUGCUCAAAAUGAUUGGCAAAUGGAAUUGAGUCAACCGGCAGAAUUUGAUCCACAGAUUUUUUAAAGAAUGUGCUAGACCCGGUCAAUCAUGGACUCAAGAUAUAAAUAUGUGAAUUCCACCUAUUUUAAAUGUGGGUCCCAUUAUACACAUUAUUUCCUGAGUCCAUGAUGGACUGGAUUUAAGCAAGAAUUUCCAGUGCUAACUUUUAGGAAGUAUGAUGCACCUAUUUAUUUGCAAAGUGCACAAUUAAGCAUAUUAUACAUGCAGACAUAAACCUAUAGAUAUACAUAUGUUAUCAAGUAUACAAAAUUAUCAACAUUCUUCUAAUUGCUGGG